RNAcentral lists this transfer RNA (64 nucleotides) under Ictidomys tridecemlineatus (thirteen-lined ground squirrel). RNAcentral's name for it is "Spermophilus tridecemlineatus (thirteen-lined ground squirrel) tRNA". It matches the Rfam family "tRNA". From Rfam's summary of the family: Transfer RNA (tRNA) molecules are approximately 80 nucleotides in length. Their secondary structure includes four short double-helical elements and three loops (D, anti-codon, and T loops). Further hydrogen bonds mediate the characteristic L-shaped molecular structure. tRNAs have two regions of fundamental functional importance: the anti-codon, which is responsible for specific mRNA codon recognition, and the 3' end, to which the tRNAs corresponding amino acid is attached (by aminoacyl-tRNA synthetases). tRNAs cope with the degeneracy of the genetic code in two manners: having more than one tRNA (with a specific anti-codon) for a particular amino acid; and 'wobble' base-pairing, i.e. permitting non-standard base-pairing at the 3rd anti-codon position. Lineage: Eukaryota; Metazoa; Chordata; Mammalia; Rodentia; Sciuridae. The record is from Rfam by way of RNAcentral.
GGUGGCUCAGUAGUAGAGCACCUGCCUAGCACGUGUGAGAUUCUGGGUUCAAUCCCCAGCACCA